This 492-nucleotide ribosomal RNA is filed under the name uncultured bacterium. RNAcentral describes it as "partial 16S ribosomal RNA". It matches the Rfam family "Bacterial small subunit ribosomal RNA", at positions 29 to 507 of the family's 1533-position model. The record is from RNAcentral.
CGUUAACGCUGGCGGUAGGCCUAACACAUGCAAGUCGAACGGCAGCACAGUAAGAGCUUGCUCUUACGGGUGGCGAGUGGCGGACGGGUGAGGAAUACAUCGGAAUCUACUUUUUCGUGGGGGAUAACGUAGGGAAACUUACGCUAAUACCGCAUACGACCUACGGGUGAAAGCAGGGGAUCUUCGGACCUUGCGCGAUUGAAUGAUCCGAUGUCGGAUUAGCUAGUUGGCGGGGUAAAGGCCCACCAAGGCGACGAUCCGUAGCUGGUCUGAGAGGAUGAUCAGACACACUGGAACUGAGACACGGUCCAGACUCCUACGGGAGGCAGCAGUGGGGAAUAUUGGACAAUGGGCGCAAGCCUGAUCCAGCCAUACCGCGUGGGUGAAGAAGGCCUUCGGGUUGUAAAGCCCUUUUGUUGGGAAAGAAAAGCAGCAGGUUAAUACCCCGCUGUUCUGACGGUACCCAAAGAAUAAGCACCGGCUAACUUCGUG